UAAAAUAAUUAAGGGCACACAAAGGAUGCCUAGGUAGUAAGAGCCGAUGAAGGACGUGGUAAGCUGCGAUAAGCCUAGAUAAGUUGCAAUCGAACGUAAGAGUCUAGGAUUUCCGAAUGGAGCAAUCUAUUAAGAUGGAGUCUUAAUACGAAAGAGGGAACCGCGUGAACUGAAACAUCUAAGUAACGCGAGGAAAAGAAAGUAAAAACGAUACCCAAAGUAGCGGCGAGCGAAAUGGGUCAAGCCUAAACCUUAAAUAUGUCAAGGAUACAGCCGUUGUAUUUAAGGGGUUGAGGGACAGAGUAGUGAAGAACUGUAAGAUAUUCAAUAUAGUGUAUUGAUGAAUUGGAAUUGUCUGGAAAGGCGAACCGUAGAAGGUGAAAGUCCUGUACAAGUAAAUCCUUACACAUAUAACUCUGCUCCCAAGUAACAUGGAACACGAGGAAUUCUGUGUGAAUCUGUGAGGACCAUAUCUCAUAAGGCUAAAUACUCUUACUAACCGAUAGCGCAUAGUACCGUGAGGGAAAGGUGAAAAGAACCCCUGGAGGGGAGUGAAAUAGAACCUGAAAUUGUGUGCUUACAAGCGGUCAGAGCCAGUAAUGGUGAUGGCGUGCCUUUUGGAGAAUGAUCCUGCGAGUUACGUUAAACGGCGAGGUUAAGUAUAACGGAGCCGAAGGGAAACCAAGUCUUAAUAGGGCGAUUUAGUCGUUUGGCGUAGACGCGAAACCUGGUGAUCUAAACCUGUCCAGGAUGAAGCUGUGGUAAGACACAGUGGAGGUCCUAACCCACCGCCGUUGAAAAGUUGGGGGAUGAGGUAGGUUUAGGGGUGAAAAGCCAAUCGAACCAGGAGAUAGCUCGUUCUCUCCGAAAUGUAUCUAGGUACAGCCUUGAGUGUUCAAUUAUGGGGGUAGAGCACUGAAUGAUCUAGGGGGCGUAUUGCUUACUGAAAUCAAUCAAACUCCGAAUACCAUAAUUUAUAGCUCAGGAGUGAGACUAUGGGAGUUAACUUCCAUUGUCGAAAGGGAAACAACCCAGACCACCAGCUAAGGUCCCUAAUUAUAACUAAGUGGGAAAGGAGGUGGAGAUUCACAAACAACUAGGAGGUUGGCUUAGAAGCAGCCAUACCUUUAAAGAGUGCGUAAUAGCUCACUAGUCGAGAGUCUCUGCGCCGACAAUGUAACGGGGCUAAGUUAUAAACCGAAGCUGUGGAAUCCGUAAGGAUUGGUAGGAGAGCGUUCUGUAGGCCGUUGAAGGAGAAGGGUAACCGACUCUGGAGGUAUCAGAAGUGAGAAUGCAGGAAUAAGUAGCGAGAAAGGGGGCGAGAAUCCCCCUCGCCGGAAGACCAAGGUUUUCAGGGUAAAGCUUGUCUUCCCUGAGUAAGCCGGGACCUAAGCCCAGGCUAUAAUGCGUAGGCGAAUGGAAAACAGAUUAAUAUUUCUGUGCCAGUCAUAUAUUGUGAUGGAGGGACGCAGAAGGGUAUGCGCGCGGACGAACGGAAGUGUCCGUAGAAGUAUGUAGGAUGACUUGAUAGGAAAAUCCAUUGAGUUAUAUCUGAGGUAUGAUAUACAGUCGUAAGAUGAAUGCGCAAAUCCCACGCUGCCAAGAAAAGCUUCUAACGUUAAUAUUUGACUGCCCGUACUGCAAACCGACACAGGUGGUCAGGAUGAGAAAUCUAAGGCGGACAGGCUAACUCUCGUUAAGGAACUCUGCAAAAUAACCUCGUAACUUCGGGAGAAGAGGAGCCCUUGAGGGUCAGUAUCCACGCGAUACAAAGCGCUCGAGGGUCGCAGUGAAGAGGCUCAAGCAACUGUUUAACAAAAACACAGGUCUAUGCUAAGCUGGAAGGCGAUGUAUAUGGGCUGACACCUGCCCAGUGCUGGAAGGUUAAGAGGAGGAGUGAGAGCUCCGAAUUGAAGCCCCAGUGAACGGCGGCCGUAACUAUAACGGUCCUAAGGUAGCGAAAUUCCUUGUCGGGUAAGUUCCGACCUGCACGAAUGGUGUAAUGAUUUGAGCGCUGUCUUGACGGGAGGCCUGGUGAAAUUGUAUUACCGGUGAAGAUACCGGUUACCUACAGUAGGACGGAAAGACCCCAUGGAGCUUUACUGUAGCUUGGUAUUGGGUUUUGGCAUUGCAUGUAUAGGAUAGUUGGGAGACUGAGAUGAUAUGGCGCUAGCUGUAUCGGAGUCAUCGGUGGAAUACCAACCAUUCAAUGCUGAAAUUCUAAUCUGUGGUUUGUAGCCACGGAGACAGUGCUAGGUGGGCAGUUUGACUGGGGCGGUCGCCUCCCAAAGAGUAACGGAGGCGUUCAA
Molecule: ribosomal RNA, 2309 nt
Filed under: human metagenome
Description: bacterial LSU rRNA
Rfam family: Bacterial large subunit ribosomal RNA
Source: RNAcentral